UUUCUUGGUUCCAAUUAGAGGAAGUAAAAGUCGUAACAAGGUUUCCGUAGGUGAACCUGCGGAAGGAUCAUUACAGAGAUCAUGCCCUUCGGGGUAGACCUCCCACCCUUUGUUAUACCAACGAAUGUUGCUUUGGCGAGCCGCCCUAGGCCGUCGGCCUCGGCUGACGCGUGCUCGCCAGAGACCCCAAACUCUGUAUCAGUGUCGUCUGAGUACUAUAUAAUAGUUAAAACUUUCAACAACGGAUCUCUUGGUUCUGGCAUCGAUGAAGAACGCAGCGAAAUGCGAUAAGUAAUGUGAAUUGCAGAAUUCAGUGAAUCAUCGAAUCUUUGAACGCACAUUGCGCCCCUUGGUAUUCCGGGGGGCAUGCCUGUUCGAGCGUCAUUUCAACCCUCAAGCUCUGCUUGGUCUUGGGCCCUGCCGGCAACGGCUGGCCUCAAAAGUAGUGGCGGCGCCAUCGUGCUCUCAGCGUAGUAAUUCUUCUCGCUGUUGGGUCCCGGUGGACGCUGGCCAGCAACCCCCCAUUUUCUAAUGUUGACCUCGGUUCAGGUAGGGAUACCCGCUGAACUUAAGCAUAUCAAUAAGGCGGAGG
This 592-nucleotide ribosomal RNA is filed under the name uncultured fungus. RNAcentral's name for it is "eukaryotic LSU rRNA". The stretch from base 231 to 384 matches the Rfam family "5.8S ribosomal RNA". The record is from RNAcentral. Lineage: Eukaryota; Fungi.